Sebastes umbrosus (honeycomb rockfish) is the source of this 704-nucleotide long non-coding RNA. RefSeq lists it as uncharacterized. The record is from RefSeq and is a predicted model, not a curated record. The transcript has 4 exons. Lineage: Eukaryota; Metazoa; Chordata; Actinopteri; Perciformes; Sebastidae.
CCUUGAGCGGGACUUGGACACAAUAACAGACCAUAUCCAGUGAAAGAUCCUUCUUUUUCGUCACUUUGAUGCAUGGGGCACUGGUUAAUUGAACAUACCAGCAAACUGCAUCAAACACAGCUCUGAGAGAGGGAUUACACGUCUUUCUUGGUCUACGUCCUAGAGCCUCUGCCGGGACUGCCACCCACCACAGGACCUCAGCUGCUCCGGGCCUACCAGCAUGGCUCGGAUGUGGGUUUAUAAAUGAUCCGGGAACAGGCGCCAUGCGGUGCCCCCCCAGAGCACACCCUGGUUUCAAGUCAUCGCAGAUAAGGAACGAUUUCACACUGUUAAUCAGAUUGUCCUAACGAUCUGCUCCCCUGCAACAUGCAUAGUUCGGCAUGGUGCUUUCCUAUGAGACAUCCACCUCAGAUCUAAUCCCCUUAAGCUCUCCACUCCACGGGAUUUAUGGGAGGUGGCGGGCAGCUGUGGAUGAGUUACUACGGAAAGAUUAAGAUUGUGUGAUGCAAUGUUGGAAAAAGGCAAGGGAGCUUACUGGCAGAACGUCAAAAAAACUUCCCGUUGUUUUAUAAAGUCAUAUUACAACAUAACAUAUCCUUGUAGUUUAAAUUUUCCACCUCUGAGACAUCAGAGUUUCUGAGAAACAGUAUCUCCUCUGACUCCUUGCAUGUUUUAAACAGAGAAUACCAACUUCUGCUCUCCAG